UCGGGGACCGCUGAUCCGGCGACCUUCGGGCCACCGUUUCGGUGGAAACCGAUUUAAUCGCAGUGGCUUGAACCGGGUAAAAGUCGUAACAAGGUAGCUGUAGGUGAACCUGCUGCUGGAUCAUUACACACUCACCGUGAUGG
Molecule: ribosomal RNA, 143 nt
Filed under: Bitylenchus hispaniensis
Lineage: Eukaryota; Metazoa; Nematoda; Chromadorea; Rhabditida; Telotylenchidae
Description: partial 18S ribosomal RNA
Rfam family: Eukaryotic small subunit ribosomal RNA (bases 1-126)
Source: RNAcentral